AAAAUUACCAUUUCAGGGGCAGCAACCCAACAACCGAUUAUCCGAUUCAUCUGAAAAUUCCAGGGCAGAUAGAUCGUGACCUGAUCAACAAUUUUACUUCCUGUCAGAUUUGCUCUAAAUGCUUUGGUUUUUGAGUUAUAAGCCAAAAACUGCAUUUUACCCCUAUGUUCUAUUUUUAGCCAUGGCGGCCAUCUUGGUUGGUUGACCGGGUC
This 212-nucleotide long non-coding RNA is filed under the name Mytilus galloprovincialis (Mediterranean mussel). The record is from RNAcentral. Lineage: Eukaryota; Metazoa; Mollusca; Bivalvia; Mytilida; Mytilidae.